RNAcentral lists this ribosomal RNA (471 nucleotides) under uncultured bacterium. RNAcentral describes it as "bacterial SSU rRNA". It matches the Rfam family "Bacterial small subunit ribosomal RNA", at positions 355 to 825 of the family's 1533-position model. The record is from RNAcentral.
UGGGGAAUAUUGGACAAUGGGCGGAAGCCUGAUCCAGCAAUACCGCGUGUGUGAAGAAGGCCUUAGGGUUGUAAAGCACUUUCAAUAGGGAGGAAAAAGGUAAGCUUAAUACGUUUGCCCUUGACAUUACCUAUACAAGAAGCACCGGCUAACUCCGUGCCAGCAGCCGCGGUAAUACGGAGGGUGCAAGCGUUAAUCGGAAUUACUGGGCGUAAAGCGUGCGUAGGCGGCUUGUUAAGUCAGAUGUGAAAGCCCCGGGCUCAACCUGGGAACUGCAUUUGAAACUGGCAAGCUAGAGUUGGGUAGAGGGGAGUGGAAUUUCAGGUGUAGCGGUGAAAUGCGUAGAUAUCUGAAGGAACACCAGUGGCGAAGGCGACUCCCUGGACUCAAACUGACGCUGAGGCACGAAAGCGUGGGUAGCAAACAGGAUUAGAUACCCGUGUAGUCCCUGAGCGGGCUGGCAAGGCGCAU